RNAcentral lists this ribosomal RNA (274 nucleotides) under uncultured bacterium. RNAcentral's name for it is "partial 16S ribosomal RNA". It matches the Rfam family "Bacterial small subunit ribosomal RNA", at positions 523 to 796 of the family's 1533-position model. The record is from RNAcentral.
AUACGGAGGGUGCAAGCGUUACUCGGAAUCACUGGGCGUAAAGCGCGCGCAGGCGGCUAUUUAAGUUGGAUGUGAAAGCCUACGGCUCAACCGUAGAACUGCAUCCAAAACUAUUUAGCUAGAGUGUGGGAGAGGAAGAUGGAAUUAGUUGUGUAGGGGUAAAAUCCGUAGAGAUAACUAGGAAUACCAAAAGCGAAGGCAAUCUUCUGGAACACUACUGACGCUGAGGCGCGAAGGCGUGGGGAGCAAACAGUAUUAGAAACCCCAGUAGUCC